This is a long non-coding RNA of Lates calcarifer (barramundi perch), 3576 nucleotides long. RefSeq lists it as uncharacterized. The transcript is spliced from 3 exons. The record is from RefSeq and is a predicted model, not a curated record. NCBI's taxonomy places the organism in Eukaryota, Metazoa, Chordata, Actinopteri, Centropomidae.
CAGUACAGUAGAGUCACAAUUCCGACAUAUUUUUCUUUUCAGACUACCAUACUGUCUCCUGGUGUUUAUUUUCCUGACUGAAUGUGAAGGUUUUGGUAGGCAUGCAGUGUUAACAACAGAACACAACACAAUGUAAAAUCAUAGGACAGGAAACAAGGAUGAAACUUCACAUAUUUCCUAAAUACUCAGGAUGAAAAGUAACUAUUACAACUUUCUAGACUGUGAGCAGCAGACUGGUGCUAGUAUGAAAUGAAGGGGACCAAAAGACAUCCACAAACAUGCCUUUUAUUUGGCUAACUUCUCUGGAAAAUAUAACAGUAUUUAUCAGUAUUCAUUACUACAGUUAUCACUGGCCUCCAAAGCCCUUAAAGUGCCAAAAGCUGACAGAAAAUGAAUACACAGAUGACAAGGCGAACAUUAAUAACCCUAUCUGUAUCAAUCAAUUAUUCCUGUAGGAAUAAUGCAAUCAAACAUUUUGUCUUUCCCAUAUUUUUCAGGCCAUUUUGAUUCAUCUGAUAUUUUUAUCAGGCUUUACAGACCCAUGUAACAAACCUGUGCAAGACAAAGAAAAUGAAUUUAAACAUUAAAAGGACAGUGAUAUUUUGUACUGAAUGUGACCCACACAAAAUCAAUACAAUUAAAUACACCCAUCCACAUUUCUGGUCCCUUGUGUAACCGUAUCUGAAGAAUUUAGAGUAGUAGCAGUGUAUUAGUUUAUUAAUUUGGAUGCUCUAAACACCAACAUUUCCAACGCACCAUUGGACAUAUACCGUCACAAAACUAAACCUAAUAUAGAUUCAGCCAGUCCACAUCUAGAGGCAAGUGUAAGUCAGUAAGCACAGUUUUUUUUUUAAUCUAGAUUAUGCUACUCAGACUCAAGGGUUUUGUCAGCUAAAACUUGCCAACAUCACAUUUUCUUAUGGUAAACAACAAUAUCAAUAUAUAUUAAUAAAUAUUAAUUAAUAAUAAUAUAUAUUAUGGAUAUGCUGUGAAGAUAAAAAGGGUAUCAAGGAUUGAUAGAACUUUUAGAGAGGAUAAGGUAAAGGUAAGGUAAAUACUAAGUAAUGGAAUUGACCUUUCUGCUUAUCCCAAGCAACAUUUACUGAUGACAUGCACUGACUUCCUUGCAGGUCUUCAUGCCGAAAUACCACAACUGUGUGUUUACUUCAGUGUGAUAAAAGAGCACUCUACCAAUCCAGCUAAACUCUACAGGAAGCUGUGAGGGAAAAGAGACAUGGCAAAGCUGAAGGUUGAUGCUUUAGUGUGGAAAACAGUCCCACAGUGACUCUCAAACACCACACAGGUUAAUAGAUCAAACACCAGAUAGCACAGACUUCUCAUGAUUAGCAACAAAGCUUAAACAACACACACUCUCUCUCUCUCUCACACACACACACACACACACACGCAGUCCUGCCUGUACAGGAUCUAGAAAGAGAGAGGAAGUGUGUUUGUGCUGACCGCUCUGUAAAACAAAGGCAGAGCUGAUAAGGAAAUAAUACAAGAAUGACGGGAGAUCUAACUUUACAUUCCUCUGGCAGAGGCCUUGAUCCCUGAGUGUUUGAACACUGGUGGUCAUAAGACUCCAAAUCCCAGACAUUGUGAACGUCUCACUCAACACAACAAGCAGAGUAAGCAGCUUAAAUAUAUCUGUCAGAUAUAUUUAUUAUGAAGAUUUCUGCUGAAGGACAGUCGCUCUGUCAUGCCAAAAGAAAAUCUUAUUUAAUAAAUCUAAUAAUAGUCUGAUUAUGUUACAUGGCAACAUGAAAAUAGAUUGAUUUAAUCUCUCAAAUGUCAAUACUGGUAUCAGCCUCAACAAGCUCGUAUCAGCUGGGCUCUAAUUCUUUACAGAUCAAUAUAAACUUUGGUCUUUGCUGAGGUAAACAUCCAAUAAUCAAGUAAGUGUACAGAUACAGCCCAGUCCAACUCGACUGCCUCGCACCGAUUAAGGAUGUGAUGUGCAGAGUGACUGUAGACUCCAGCAGUUUGGAGUUGUUGUUGUUUCUAUCGGCUGACAGACACAGUCACAUUCACUCUCUAUUAAACCCUGAGUUUUGGUUUAAAAUUGGGCAAGUAAUAAAUAAAAUAUCAAUCAGAGCAACUAAUGCACGGUCAAAAUUGCACAAAGAAGUUGAACUCUGAAGUGUUAGUGUUAGUUGGAUUUUACAGAGGAGCAGCAACAAGUUAGUUUGGAAAAAAAAUAGAGAAAGUGUCACCUACAGAAAGUCAAAUUCAUCAGUGCAAAAGCCAAGAAAAAGUACAGUUCACAGUUUUGACUGAUAAAUAAUGAGCAAAAACACCAGGCAAUUACUGAAGAUGUCAAAUAAUAAAACAAAAGAUCACCUUGCAGAUAGCAGAACUACAUUUUUGAGCCAGGUCCAGCAUCAUUACAUCAACUUUCCUGGGUCAAAAGACGCAGGAGAUGGCUCUCAUUGUAGACGGCUCAGCUACCAGACACAGACCAGUCUCUAUAUCCUGACUUACAUCAGCACAAUGCUGCUUACUGUACAACACAGAGACUGAAUACACACCAGCUUAGCCACAGUACACCGUCUGUCCAUACAGCACUUCACUGUUCAACACAAUAAUCUGAACAGAAACAGGGUUUUUGUCUCAUUUACAUCUGGAACUGUUGGAGGAAGGUGGUGGGAUUCACUCUCUGAAAUCCUGAAUGUUUUUUCAGAUGCUUUGGCAAAAGAAAGCGGUUUGAUUUUUACUGUCAUGCUAAUAAAAGCACACUACACUGAACUGAAAAUUGAGUUCAACAGCUGACUGCGUCUCAUCCCACUCCAGUUUUCAUGGCAACCAACUCUGAGUCUUUGUGCUUCCAGUGUAUUCAUAAUUCAUAACCCAUUUAUUUCUUUGUUUAGAUCAGUUUGGCUUGGUGUGCACCUCAUAACCCCACCCCUCCCUCUCUCUCCUCUCUCUCUGGACAUCACGUGUCAUGUGACUUAGCAAAACACCGUCUCUCUCUCUCUUCCUCUUCCUCUUCCAUCUCUCUCUCCCUCUAUCACAUUCCUUUCCUGUCCUCCCACUUGUUCCUGCAGCAGCAAGUCUGAGCCGCCCGUCUGGUUGCCAGGCACGAUCAGGGUGCACACGUGUGCGUGUGGUUUUCAGCUUGACUACGGGGGAGGGAGGAAGCAUCUGAAAAAGCUAAAAAUAUGAAAGAAUGUUGAUUUGAAGAGGAAGCGAACGAGAGGACGAGAAGACACCUGAUCUCUGGGAGAGGAAGUAAUGAACUGAUGAUACUGAUUGGUUGGAGGUAGAGACAGAAAACUGAUGUGAAAAACUGCUUCUGUCCUUUGAAGAAAUCCUGUCAUGCUUCCAAACUACCCUCCAAAACCUCUGAAUCUGUAGCACCACCUUAGGAAAAAAUCUGAUCAGCCAACACCUAAAAGGCCAAAGAGAGAACAUUCGUUGAAAAAGCUGCUGAAACAUGAGCGAAGCCAAAAACGACGCAUGCUAUCUGCUAUCACCGAAUAUUCAGAACCAAACCUUGAUGUAAAGAUCGUCUUUCAACUUUUUAGACUUGCCUAGAAAAAUCAAGCACCUUUCCAGGAACAACAAAAUCAAUCA